UCACGGUAUAGAGUGAGAUCGUUCACAU
Molecule: non-coding RNA, 28 nt
Filed under: Bombyx mori (domestic silkworm)
Lineage: Eukaryota; Metazoa; Arthropoda; Insecta; Lepidoptera; Bombycidae
Source: RNAcentral